GAAAAAAAAAAUUAGCUGAACCCUACUAAAAAUAGAAAAAAACUUAGUAAUUAUAGAAAAUUAACUAAUAACCAACCUAUUGCUUCGUAUUGUCGAGAUCCUAACUAAGAAACAGUCACUAUGUGAAUAAAUACAUCUAUAAAAAAUGAGUAGAUCUAUCAUAUAGUUGUAGCAACUGCAUUUUUUUCUCUACAAAAGAAACCAGAUUUUAGGCUGUGAAGCAAAACUAAAGGGAUGUGGAUAAAAGGAGGGAUGAUAGAUAGAAGGAAGAAGAAUAAGAAAGAUAUAGGAUUCCAAUGUGUAUGGUCUAUGAAUUACAUCAUAAAAAAAAAGCAAUGUGAUAAAGCAUCAAUAUAAUAAAAUAAUAAAAAAAAGAGAGAAUUCGAAAUCGUAACUUUCGAAACAACAAAUAAAAAUUUAAAGAAAUAAAAAAGAGCAGCCCGCGUUAAUAAAACUGAGAAAAUUGACUCGGAAAGAAAUUUUUUGUUUUUGGAAGCUCCAUUGCAGGAUUCAAACCUAACCAUUAAAGGAGAAGCUGUGGGAACGACAAAACCUAUGACGGCAUCGGAUUUUAUUGAAAAGAAUCCUAACACUUCAUUGGGUGGGAUGGCGGAACAAACCAAAAAAAUUGCUUUAUUUGAUAAAGUUCUAAAUUAACAAAUAAGACAGGAAAGAGUAAAUAUUCGCCCGCGAAAUCCUUAUUGGAUUAGAAUACUUUACCACGAUUCAAUAAGAAUAAAAAUAAGGAGAUUCAAAAAAAAAA
This 763-nucleotide long non-coding RNA is filed under the name Panicum hallii. RNAcentral's name for it is "long non-coding RNA (PHAL_LNC000411)". The record is from RNAcentral. Lineage: Eukaryota; Viridiplantae; Streptophyta; Magnoliopsida; Poales; Poaceae.